CUAGCAGCUUGCGGGUGAUCCCCAGUAACAUCACCUGUGAAUCCUACCAGGCUGUAUACAAUGGUCUUGAGCAGAGUUUGGAAGCAUUGCCACUGGACCUUUCACAGGGCGUGAGAUCAAGCGAGCAGUACCUCCAGGACACAUUCCCACGUUGCUCAGUUCCAGCUUCCUUUGUGUGCAAGGUGACCCCAGUUCAUGUGAAUCUCAUUUGUGAUGCAGCUGAUGGUUCAAAACUUGAACAGAUCCUAUCAGCUGGCAAUUCCUCUGCAGCCCUGUGCAAUUUCACCAUCACAGAACAUGCCUGUUCCUCUGCUGCCUAUCUCACAUCCAGCAACUUGCCCACACUGCUGAACUGCACACUGAAAAGCCAAAACAUAUACCCGGUAGAAGUCUGGAAGCUUUUCUUCC
This is a long non-coding RNA of Oreochromis niloticus (Nile tilapia), 408 nucleotides long. RefSeq lists it as uncharacterized. Lineage: Eukaryota; Metazoa; Chordata; Actinopteri; Cichliformes; Cichlidae. The transcript is spliced from 7 exons. The record is from RefSeq and is a predicted model, not a curated record.